AAGAGUGAGAGUUGGUGCAAUUUUGAGGAACCGAAGCUCAACUUGGAGCCGUCUGCACUUGCUGAAUUCUAGAGGAAAGGAGUUCUUGUCCUUAGUUUAGCUACCCGAGAGACAUUAGGAGGAAAAGGAGAGAAGGACCAAAAGAAAGAAACAACAACAACAACUAGGAACUCAUUUCUGGCCUCCUUCAACCGUGAGAACCAGCA
This 206-nucleotide long non-coding RNA is filed under the name Coffea arabica (coffee). RNAcentral describes it as "long non-coding RNA (CARA_LNC003270)". Lineage: Eukaryota; Viridiplantae; Streptophyta; Magnoliopsida; Gentianales; Rubiaceae. The record is from RNAcentral.